UAACAAGGUUUCUGUAGGUGAACCUGCAGAAGGAUCAUU
This 39-nucleotide ribosomal RNA is filed under the name Quambalaria cyanescens. RNAcentral's name for it is "partial 18S ribosomal RNA". Lineage: Eukaryota; Fungi; Basidiomycota; Exobasidiomycetes; Microstromatales; Quambalariaceae. RNAcentral also lists the same sequence under 1 other name. The record is from RNAcentral.